Molecule: long non-coding RNA, 1674 nt
Organism: Cornus florida
Lineage: Eukaryota; Viridiplantae; Streptophyta; Magnoliopsida; Cornales; Cornaceae
Exons: 11
Source: RefSeq, a predicted model, not a curated record
UCGGGGAAUUUGUUGCUUGUUGAUCAAUAGUUCUGGACGAUUUUUUUUCUUUUUUUUGUGUUUUAUCCUAAUUCAUCUCAGUAUUACAGUUCACAGAAAUUCAAAAUUGCAAUCAUUAACCUAAUCUUCGAAUUUUUUGAGGUUAUUUUAAAAUUUCGCACCAGUACCCCAAAAAAAUAAAAAAAUAAAAAAACCACUCAAGCCCUAAUUCCAACCAAACCUCUACUAUGUCUGCAAUUCACGCUCAUUUCUCUCACCACGCCGACCUACGAUCGUCGUCACCACCGCUUUUGCAAGACCGCAAGUAUGUUAGACACUACAUUUAGCUUUAAGAAGCUAAGGGAGGAAUAUUUGCAUGGCCUGCCAAGUUUGUUAGAAGAACUUAGUCGUACUUGUUUUCAGAGUGCUGUUGGUAUGGAUCUCUCCCUUAAGCACCAUCAUGUACUCACAUUUAUGUUAUAGCUGAGAGCUUAGAGGAAACUUGCAGUUGUAUGAUUGUCUCGAUGUAUCGACAGAAAGUUUUCAACCUCAACUUACUUUCUAGCAUUUGUCAAAUAUAAUGUGAUUCUCUUCUGGUCUGUAUAAAAAAUGUUUAGUGUUUCAUCGUUGAACGUUCUCAUUAUUUAUUAUGAAUUUUCAGCAAGUAAAGUAAAGAAUUAUGAAUCCUGUAGCAAUGUUUUUCAUUUUAGUGUAUUGGUUUGUGCUGUUUUUUAAAGCUCUCAUUGUGAAGUCCUCUAGAUUUCAACUUCAUCAAUUUACAGCCUGUAUCUUUCUGAGAACCAAAAUUUGAAUUGGAAAUUGGGUUUACCUGAGCUGCUGGAUAAACUUCAGGGGCGGCAACCGUGGCCGGAAAAGAUGAAGAUGCACCUACAUCAAGCAUGGGUUUUGUAUCAAUGGGGGAUAAAUAGAGGGUGAGUCAACCGUGUACUGCAGUUUUGCUUCAGCUUCGGCAAAGAGAUUUUUGUGACAGUAGGAGAGGUCUUCAACUAGCUCUUGGCUAACUCGGAGCAUAGGUACUUGACUACAAGAGAUGCAAGCUUUGGAUCACAACAUUGUUGCUUGGGACCGUUGUACUUGACUACAAGAGAUGCAAGCUUUGGAUCACAACAUUGUUGCUUGGGACCGUUGUGUUCGUCAGUUCCAGACUUAGAGAUUGUUCGUGCUGAGCAGAGACGGUCUUCAUCACUCUUCUAUCUUUGCCAAGACCGCAAGUAUGUUAUACACUACAUUUAGCUUUAAGAAGCUAAGGGAGGAAUAGUUGCAUGGCCUGCCAAGUUUGUUAGAAGAACUUAGUCGUACUUGUUUUCAGAGCUGAGAGCUUAGAGGAAACUUGCAGUUGUAUGAUUGUCUCGAUGUAUCGACAGAAAGGUUUCAGCCUCAACUUACUUUCUAGCAUUUGUCAAAUAUAAUGUGAUUCUCUUCUGGGACGGCGACCGUGGCCGGAAAAGAUGAAGAUGCACCUACAUCAAGCAUGGGUUUUGUAUCAAUGGGGGAUAAAUAGAGGGUGAGUCCACCGUGUACUGCAGUUUUGCUUCGGCUUCGGCAAAGAGAUUUUUGUGACAGUAGGAGAGGUCUUCAACUAGCUCUUGGCUAACUCGGAGCGUAGGGUCCAUGAUGUGGGAGAAUGUGCUGUUGGCACGGGGUUGGGACCGGCAAGAAUGUUGUUCGGGUUGG